RNAcentral lists this long non-coding RNA (5082 nucleotides) under Sus scrofa (pig). RNAcentral describes it as "lncRNA (ENSSSCG00000054035.1)". The record is from RNAcentral. Lineage: Eukaryota; Metazoa; Chordata; Mammalia; Artiodactyla; Suidae.
CUGCUCCACUUGACCUUCCAAAUCUUGCAUUAAGUCUUUUGUGGACAGGACAUGUAGUUCAGUGAAGUUACCCUGACCCUGACCCAAUCUAAAUCUUAUAAACACAAACAUGUGUAUAUGUAUGUAAUAUACAUACACACAAAUGAACAUAUACAGAAAAACAUACAUACAUGUGUGUCUGUGAUUUGGAUUAUGUCGCUAUAGAUUGACUGAAUCUAUAAACCGAAUCAAUAUAGGCUGACAUGUCCUAGAAUUCCCUUCCUGGUCCAUGAGAUCAUCUUUAUGUAUAUACUAGAAACAGAAUUACAUAUUUACUACUUUUGGAGAAGCUCUACUACAAAGAAUAACGACCAUUAUGGAGCACGUGUAGUGUGCAGAUUGCUCUACAUACAUUAUAUACUUUUAUCCUGAAAUGAUUUUAUGAAUAGGAUUAUGUCACCAUUUCACAGAUUAGGAAAAUGAAGGCAGAGAUGGUAAGUGACUGACUUGUCCAAGAUUAGAUGUUACAAGGAGGUAGAAAAAGGGCCUCAAACCCCAAAGCCUGUGCUGGUAGCUUGUAUUGUAAAUCUACGUAGCAAUCCAAUAAGAUGAAAAUAAAAAACAAACCUAAAAAAUAGAAAUCGUAAAUUACCAGGACAUAUUUAAAUUACCAAUUAAAGAAUUUUAAAAACAUGGCAAUGUUAAACAAAUUGAAAAUCCUCUGAGAGAAAUAACUUCUCAAAUCACAUUCUAAAGAUUUUAAUCUCAUCUGUGUAGGACUCUCUUUAAUUUGCACUGAGUAUACACACUCCUAAAAUAUAUGCCAACAACAUGCAAAUGUUUACUGACUUCAAUUACAAAAAAAGGAGGCAUCAGAAUAGCCUCGUGGAUCAGAGACAGGCUGGUGGAUGCAAAGGGAGGGAAUUUGACAGAGGGAGGGAAAAACAGGAGGGAGAGAUUGAAAGAGACUGAAUGCAACACAGAGAGAAGGCCUGAAGCUGAGGGAGACAAAUGCAAAUGCUCAUCGACUCUGUAAUGAAAAAUCUCCUUAUUAAACUGUGCUUUAUCUGAGAACAGUCUUCCUUUUAGGAACAUAUCCAAGCAGAGAUAAAGGCAUCUUACUAUCCUCAUUAAACUGUGCAUGGUUUGAUGCAAUCAGACUUGUGUAAUUUGCAUAUGGAGCGGUUUAAUCUAGCUCAUCCUGUCUUGCACCUAUUGUUAAUCAUGUCCAGGCUUCCCCUCUCCUUCCCCCCUCCUCCUCCACUAACCCUUUGAUUUAAGCAGAUAAAUGAAUAGACAUAAGGACAUCAACAUCUUUGUGAGUGAUCAUCAGCCUUGUACAUUCAGAAUAUCCCUUGGUUGGCUGAUUAUGCCUUGGAAGGCAUUCCAUAUGGUUUUGAUAGUGUCCAUCUUGGCCAGUUUAGAAAAGGCUGCAUAAGGGCAGUCCGAGAUGACAGAAAAUCAUUAUUAACAUACACUGUGAGCUUAAGUCUCUAACCACCAUAAAUAAUAAGAUAGGUGUUCUCACCUUAUGUAUUGGCUGGGAGCGCCUUCUAGCAAAGCAUCUUGGCAUCAGUGUGCCAGGUUUGACUGUAUAAAGAGGCUUUGAAGAAUGUAUGAAAACUUUGUAAUUACUUCUUGGCAGUAAGUAAUAUGCAGUUAUGAAGAUGGUUGCGAUUUGAUGUUCAAUGUGUUGGUCUCGGAUGAAUAUGAAAAGAACUGUUCAAAGUCUUUGGUCAGUCCCAUGGCUUCCUGCUUUUUAUAUCAAAGGGGAUAAGCAUGGACAGUGAGCAAAGGGAAGCAGUGUAAGCUUUCCUCUACCUCCUAUCGUCUUUGCCACCAUUCCCCAAAUCCCAUGCUAUUCUUCACGGAUACACACACCCUCUCAGUGUUGGAGAUGGGGCGGAUUUAGGAGAGAAGAGGGUGGAUGUGUUCCUCGGGAGGGCAUCGCAUCCACUCAGAAAUGGAAGGGACCACUUACAGCGCCUGUGAAACGUCUUAAUCGUACCAUCCCCACCGUGUAUGUGGUUGCUUCAAAGGGCAGCUCCUGCCCUGAAGAGACGUUUGAGAAAAUGUGCAAAUAUACCUCAUGGUGGGGCUCUGAAGCACUUAGAAGUGUGAGGCAGAUAACAUCUAACAUUUUAAGUCAGUUCUUUACAGGACUCGUACUUGGCCCUGCACACCCCCUCUUCAGGUUGACUAUGGGGAAAGACACACCCGUAUGGUAGGUUCGAGGGCAAGGGAAUUACAGGAAACAGGGGUAAUCGUGAACCCUCUUCGGUCCAUCUGGGAGAGUCUUCCUGAGGGCUGACAGCCAGCCUGGACUUUGAAGAGGUGGGAAAGCAUAAGAAAAAGGCAACUCCAAGCUCUAGGAGUCAGUACAGUUUGGAGAAGUCAUUGGUGUUACGACAGUGAAAAAAGCUGAGACAGCAGAGAAGGAAGGAAGGCUGAGUGGGGAGAGUGAGUUCUUCACAGGGAGAUGAUGAGGUGAUCUUUUCUUUAGAAAGUAAAGGAGUCCGUUAUUGCUCUGCAUAGGGUUUAUCAAUGCACCAACUUUCUUCAUUUCCCUCUGUAUCUUCAGGAUGUGGAACUAAAUACAGGAUACAUUUGGAGUUUGAAGUUAAAUACACAUGGGUGUCCAAAUCUGGUUCUCCACAUCCAUCCAAAUAAUAAAUAACAACAGCAACAAUGAGAAUAGACAUUUAUGGAACAUGCACUAAGCAUCGAGCUAAAAGCUUUCUAUAAAUUAUCUUCUUUAAUUUUCCCUGAACACUAAGGCAGUUCUUAUUGUCAUCAUCUCUAUUUUCACAGAGGAUGUAACAGGCUUGGGAAGGUACCUUAGGUACCUUUCUCAGGGUCACUUGGAAAUGUAUUGGUUUUGGCUUUCUGAUAUCUACCACUGUUUCUUCGCUUCCUGUUAACCUCUGACUUCCAUCUGGGGAGAUGCAUUUCGUGUAGUCCUUGUGAGAGAGCAAUUCUUAGUGCCUGCCUCUUAUGUCUCCCUCUCAUGCCACGUCUGACUACGGAAGCUGUGUGUGGGGAGGAAUCCAGGGUUUAUGUGUUUGUGGUAUACCUAGGGCAGACAUGUGACCGGAGUUCAUCCUAUCAGUGCUGGAUCCCCAGAAUUUGCAUCCUAGUCACAAAAUGAAAAGCAUGCUGGGAGAAGAGAUUAAUUCCUGCAGUGGUGCAGCCUUGCUUUCAGUCCAAAAGGCUCAGAUGCUGGAUUUCCUUAGUUUCUGCCUACUCUCCAACCCCAGGCUUUGUGGCUUUCAUGGUUCCAGGUACCCCAGAUAUCCUUAAAAUAAAGGCCCCUUUUCCACAUGGCAAGAGGACAGUUGUCACCUUGCAUCUCAGGGCCAGAGCAUCACUUCAUUCUCCCACCGCCAAAAGCCUUUGUUCUCCCUUUGUGAUUUGCCGAUGGCAUCGGCUCACUUCUUCGCUGUACCCGUAUCAAUCCUAUCCACCGUCAAAUUUCAAAUCCUCUCAUGAUGGCUUUCCUGUAGCCCUGGCUGACUCUCUGUUACUAUAAUCAGUUGUAUCCAAGAGUGUGGCCCAGACCAUUGAGCAUCAGCACCUCGCCUUACACCCUCCAGUGCAGGCAUUCUAAACCCAUCAAUGCCUUGAUUCAUUCAACGAUAUUUGUGCUGUGACAGAACUCUGCUAGAUGCUUGUGACAAAUGGGAAAUAUGCUUCAAAUAGGUCACAUGUGUUUCCAAAGAGGAAGUAAGAGUGCCAGGCGAAAGUGUGAUGGGAAAUCUAACUGCAUCCUGGACCACGGAGGGGUCCGCAGGGUGUGGGAACACUCUAAAAUGUAUACGUAUCUGAACUUUUCUAAACAAGCCUCUGUAACUGCCAUCAGAUUGUCAGAGAUCCAUGACCCCCCAGUAUCAAGAACCAAGACCCUGAAUGUACAUACUUGUCUCUCUAAUUAGUGAAAUCUCCACGUUAGGGAACUGUCUUAUAAGAGAGCAUAUGGAAGGUUCUCAGCAGAUUCUUAUUGAUGACUGAGAGAUUCUGGGAAAUGAAAUCAUUUGCUUCAAAACGUUAGUCCACAGCGUCCUUCCAGGAAGAUGUUUUUCUAAAACUCGAAUUUACUCGUCAUGUCUGUGGCUUCAUAUCACGUUCUGCAGGACUGUUAUCGCCUGCGAUAAAAUCCCGGCAGUGAAAAAUUGAGAUCAUUUUUAACUUUUGAUCAUGAUUUUAGCUGGAAAACUGUACUUUUUCAGUGACAGCUGACUUCCUUUUUGGAUGUCAGGCUGUGGCCCCACCGUUUCUGUGAUCUUCCAGGGUGACUAGCAGGUAACCGCGUGUUUUAAUUUCAUCAUUGCCUCCGUGGGUAACUCGCUCUGCUCCCUCUAUCUGCUAUCAAGCUGAGAAGAAUACAAAAUACCUUUUCUCAUUCAUAAUGACUGCUAUCUGACCUCUGGGAGAUCUGAUUGAAAAACUGAGUCCUUCUGGCCAGACUAGGAAUCUGGAAAUUAGCUUUUUAUAGUUUCGAGAAGCCUUGCAAUGAAAGGAGAUGUUAGGAGAACAAGUGGCAACCAGGUCAGAAUCAAUAUUUAUUGGCUUAUUAAAGGAAAAGGGGUGUUGGAAACAAGUGUCUCUCGGCAUGUGUGGGCUGGGGAAUAUGAGUCUAUAUAUGCCAACUGCUGCCUGCCUGUGCAUACCAACUGUUAGGGUCAAGCAUUCUCAUUUUUCUUAUAUUUACAGUCUUUGAAGUUUCUCAUUUAACAUGCCACAGGGUGUGCACAUUAGCCAUUCAGGUGUUAAUGCAGCAAUUAUUACCCCAGAAAGGAUUCUUAGUUUGGGUUUCAUCUCUCUCUUUAUCCUACCGUUUCACCCCACACACACUUGUCUUUUCUCUCUUCCAGCAUUUAAUCUCUGUGGGGGACAUUCUAGUAGGAUUUUAAUCUUCAAAGACAGUCCAUCUCUGUGUCACAGAAGUCAUGGCUGUGCUCCUGAAUCAAUCUCUUACCUCAUUAAGGCACAGAGAUGCAUAGAUACUGAGGGUUCCGAGGAGAGCCAUUUCCCAGGGAAUGUGAGGGGGUCUGGGGGGUAUUGCUCAGCCCACCCCAUCCCUCUCUUUCUUGUCUUUCCUUCCAU